RNAcentral lists this ribosomal RNA (1305 nucleotides) under Bacteroides fragilis str. S23 R14. RNAcentral describes it as "bacterial SSU rRNA". It matches the Rfam family "Bacterial small subunit ribosomal RNA", at positions 8 to 1308 of the family's 1533-position model. Lineage: Bacteria; Pseudomonadati; Bacteroidota; Bacteroidia; Bacteroidales; Bacteroidaceae. The record is from RNAcentral.
AGAGUUUGAUCCUGGCUCAGGAUGAACGCUAGCUACAGGCUUAACACAUGCAAGUCGAGGGGCAUCAGGAAGAAAGCUUGCUUUCUUUGCUGGCGACCGGCGCACGGGUGAGUAACACGUAUCCAACCUGCCCUUUACUCGGGGAUAGCCUUUCGAAAGAAAGAUUAAUACCCGAUAGGAUAAUGAUUCCGCAUGGUUUCAUUAUUAAAGGAUUCCGGUAAAGGAUGGGGAUGCGUUCCAUUAGGUUGUUGGUGAGGUAACGGCUCACCAAGCCUUCGAUGGAUAGGGGUUCUGAGAGGAAGGUCCCCCACAUUGGAACUGAGACACGGUCCAAACUCCUACGGGAGGCAGCAGUGAGGAAUAUUGGUCAAUGGGCGCUAGCCUGAACCAGCCAAGUAGCGUGAAGGAUGAAGGCUCUAUGGGUCGUAAACUUCUUUUAUAUAAGAAUAAAGUGCAGUAUGUAUACUGUUUUGUAUGUAUUAUAUGAAUAAGGAUCGGCUAACUCCGUGCCAGCAGCCGCGGUAAUACGGAGGAUCCGAGCGUUAUCCGGAUUUAUUGGGUUUAAAGGGAGCGUAGGUGGACUGGUAAGUCAGUUGUGAAAGUUUGCGGCUCAACCGUAAAAUUGCAGUUGAUACUGUCAGUCUUGAGUACAGUAGAGGUGGGCGGAAUUCGUGGUGUAGCGGUGAAAUGCUUAGAUAUCACGAAGAACUCCGAUUGCGAAGGCAGCUCACUGGACUGCAACUGACACUGAUGCUCGAAAGUGUGGGUAUCAAACAGGAUUAGAUACCCUGGUAGUCCACACAGUAAACGAUGAAUACUCGCUGUUUGCGAUAUACAGUAAGCGGCCAAGCGAAAGCAUUAAGUAUUCCACCUGGGGAGUACGCCGGCAACGGUGAAACUCAAAGGAAUUGACGGGGGCCCGCACAAGCGGAGGAACAUGUGGUUUAAUUCGAUGAUACGCGAGGAACCUUACCCGGGCUUAAAUUGCAGUGGAAUGAUGUGGAAACAUGUCAGUGAGCAAUCACCGCUGUGAAGGUGCUGCAUGGUUGUCGUCAGCUCGUGCCGUGAGGUGUCGGCUUAAGUGCCAUAACGAGCGCAACCCUUAUCUUUAGUUACUAACAGGUUAUGCUGAGGACUCUAGAGAGACUGCCGUCGUAAGAUGUGAGGAAGGUGGGGAUGACGUCAAAUCAGCACGGCCCUUACGUCCGGGGCUACACACGUGUUACAAUGGGGGGUACAGAAGGCAGCUAGCGGGUGACCGUAUGCUAAUCCCAAAAGCCUCUCUCAGUUCGGAUCGAAGUCUGC